GGUAGCAUGGCCGAGCGGUCUAAGGCGCUGGUUUAAGGCAACAGUCAUUUCGAUUGCGUGGGUCCGAAUCCCACUGCUGCCA
Molecule: non-coding RNA, 82 nt
Organism: Ciona savignyi (Pacific transparent sea squirt)
Lineage: Eukaryota; Metazoa; Chordata; Ascidiacea; Phlebobranchia; Cionidae
Source: Rfam